GACGAACGCUGGCGGCGUGCUUAACACAUGCGAGUCGAACGGAAAGGCCCUGCUUUUGUGGGGUGCUAGAGUGGCGAACGGGUGAGUAACACGGGAGUAACCUGCCCUUGACUUUGGGAUAACUUCAGGAAACUGGGGCUAAUACCGGAUAGGAGCUCCUGCUGCAUGGUGGGGGUUGGAAAGUUUCGGCGGUUGGGGAUGGACUCGCGGCUUACCAGCUUGUUGGUGGGGUAGUGGCUUACCAAGGCUUUGACGGGUAGCCGGCCUGAGAGGGUGACCGGCCACAUUGGGACUGAGAUACGGCCCAGACUCCUACGGGAGGCAGCAGUGGGGAAUAUUGCACAAUGGGCGGAAGCCUGAUGCAGCAACGCCGCGUGCGGGAUGACGGCCUUCGGGUGGUAAACCGCUUUCGCCUGUGACGAAGCGUGAGUGACGGUAAUGGGUAAAGAAGCACCGGCUAACUACGUG
This 468-nucleotide ribosomal RNA is filed under the name uncultured bacterium. RNAcentral describes it as "partial 16S ribosomal RNA". It matches the Rfam family "Bacterial small subunit ribosomal RNA", at positions 28 to 507 of the family's 1533-position model. The record is from RNAcentral.